RNAcentral lists this ribosomal RNA (435 nucleotides) under uncultured Oscillospiraceae bacterium. RNAcentral describes it as "bacterial SSU rRNA". It matches the Rfam family "Bacterial small subunit ribosomal RNA", at positions 341 to 792 of the family's 1533-position model. The record is from RNAcentral. Lineage: Bacteria; Bacillati; Bacillota; Clostridia; Eubacteriales; Oscillospiraceae.
ACGGGAGGCAGCAGUCGGGAAUAUUGCGCAAUGGAGGAAACUCUGACGCAGUGACGCCGCGUAUAGGAAGAAGGUUUUCGGAUUGUAAACUAUUGUCGUUAGGGAAGAUAAAAGACUGUACCUAAGGAGGAAGCCCCGGCUAACUAUGUGCCAGCAGCCGCGGUAAUACAUAGGGGGCAAGCGUUAUCCGGAAUUAUUGGGUGUAAAGGGUGCGUAGACGGAGAAGCAAGUUAGUUGUGAAAUCCCUCGGCUUAACUGAGGAACUGCAACUAAAACUACUUCCCUUGAGUGUCGGAGGGGAAAGUGGAAUUCCUAGUGUAGCGGUGAAAUGCGUAGAUAUUAGGAGGAACACCGGUGGCGAAAGCGGCUCUCUGGUCUGUAACUGACGCUGAGGCUCGAAAGCGUGGGGAGCAAACAGGAUUAGAUACCCUGGUA